This is a long non-coding RNA of Xenopus laevis (African clawed frog), 2734 nucleotides long. RefSeq lists it as uncharacterized. The record is from RefSeq and is a predicted model, not a curated record. The transcript has 3 exons. NCBI's taxonomy places the organism in Eukaryota, Metazoa, Chordata, Amphibia, Anura, Pipidae.
UUAGCCUAUGGGGACCUUCCAGAGCAUAUUUCUAAGUUUUUUGUAUUCGAAGGAAAAUCGUACGAUCGUACGAUAAAAUCGUUCGAAUCAUAUGAUUUGAAGUGCGAUCGAAGUACAAUUGUACAGUUGGAAUACGAUCGUACGAUGCAAAAAAUCCUACGAAUUCGACUUCGAAUUUCGUAGUAUUCAAUUCGAUGGUCGAAUUUCGAAGUAUUUUCCAUUUCGAAAUUCGACCCUUGAUAAAUCUACUCCAUAAUCUCUAGCUGAGCCACUAACUCCCUCCCCCAUCCCUGAUAGAGCCAGUGGAUGCUGAAAGUUGUAGUAGAGAACUUUAUAGAACAUUUUGUUAUUGAAAAAAGUAUUAAUGUGAAGAGGUUUUUUCCUCAAAAAGUUCUUCAUGUAAUGCACUUUGUUUAUUUACAGUAUAGUUACUCUUAUUCUUGUGUUCUCUCUUUAUACCAGGCAGUAGUCAAAUUGAAAUUUUGGAGCUGCGGGAUUUAGAAAAUGAAUACGUUCUUCCACAGAGGCGACUGACUCUUGCAAAGCAUAAUCCCAGUACGGCAGUUAUUGCAGAUGCAUCCGAUUGCAGCAGGGCUGGGAGACAGCGCAGAAGAUUGGGAAUGGCUGGCGGCCAAUCAACUGGCAAUUGUUAAUUGCAAAUAAGUCCAGAUUCUGGGCAAACUCCUAAGGAAGUUGGAUGAAUAUUUUGAGAAGCUGAAGAAAGCCACCAACGACUACAAAAGGUUAGUGCAGAAGCCGCUACGGGCGUAAAUCUGCUCAGUUAUAUAUAGAUGGAAACCAGGCCCCCGUGUUCAUAAUUCAGUGUAGAAUUCAUAAUAAUGUCAUUCGUUUUCUACAAAAAAAACAAACAUUUUGUAUGAUGAUUCUAUGUGUGUCCAUUUGUGGGAUGUUUCAUUAUCAGAUCCCAACUCCCUGCCACAUGUCCUACUGAAUAUAUACAUCUAUAAACUGUGUUUGGAUUUGCUGUUUGAUUCUUUUUCCUGCUUAGAUCUGAUACCAGAAAUAUGCUCCCUGGCUCAUUCUUUGAGAAAUGGACUAGUCUGGCCAAUGGACUGUACAAGAGCUGGGAGCUGAUCAGUGGCUACUUCAGUCAAGGGUCCAUUUAAAACGUGCCCAGAUUCAUAUGGCAUGAGUUUCAAUCAGAUAUGAAUGGGGUUGGCACCUGGUUGGUAUAUCACCAGCCUAACCAGUAAUAUAGUAGCCGAGACUGGGACCAGUGUUACACAUUUAACCAGCUAUGUCUUUUCUCAUAAAUUUAUAAUUCCCUGAUUUACCACCCCUGUCCUGCCCCUCCCCAAUCACUGCCUCCAGCUCCACUUCUUUCCCUUCUUCCUAUAAUCCCCCGCUCCCAUAUCGACCAUAUUUCUCCCGAACCACCCCCUCAUUGUCCCUCCCCUUUCUGUACAGCCAGAUUUCUUUUUCCAAAAUGGCGACAACCCUAGAUAUUGGUCAGGCAGGACCUUCUGAGGGCCCAUGUUUGAUAAUGUACCUGGCACAGCACAAGCCCAGUAUAAUACCUCCAGCUGACUGGACUGUGCUGGCACCCAGCCUAAAUCAGUGCAAUGGACUGUGAAAACCUGUUGGUGGUGCUUAUUCCCACGAACAGCGUCUCCUAUUUCCCCUACUCAUGUAUGUCAGUGGGCAUGGCUAUUCUACUACUUUAUUCUAAAGCAUGGUGGGGCAACACCAUCCAGCAGGGGGGCAACAAGAUCAACAUGUGAUUCCUUAAAGGCCUGGGCCCAACAUAACUGAGAAGCUUGAUACAGCUGUACCCUGCAAUUACAUAAAGUUAUGUAAUUGCUCUGUCUACCCCCCACCCUGUCUCUUAAAGGGCAAGUAAAUCCAGGACUAAACAUAAACUGCAUGGAUUAAUAACAGGGCAGGGGGCUGCUGUACUGCCUCUCAGCCGUGUCAUUGGUAAAUUACAUCCCCCCACUUCAGCAGAACAAACAUUCCUGGUGAGUCUGGACGGACCCUCCUCUUCCCAUUUUCCAAAGGGAAUGUGCAGUGAACCUCUGGGGAGCAGGGUACUAUGGUAAAACAAUCACUGCAAAUCAAAAUGUAGAGUAAAUUAUGUACAUCUUACUUUGGCCCAGGGCUCCUUGAAUUUCAAUUGGCCAUUAAUAUCCCACCUGUUAUCAGUAGACCAAUCAGAGGAUGGACUGAUGCCCAAUGAUACACAGACCUGCCCUUCCUAUGCCCAAAUAAUAGCAAAGGCAACUUUAUCAUGGGACAAAUAUCUUCUAAUGACAGUGGCAUAUUUAUGGGUCAGCUCUUUUCUAGACCCAAUGAUUCAGUUUUCCUUGGCCCAAAGGAUACUAAUGGCAGUGACAUGUAUAUCCAAGUCCCUGCUAGGCUCAAAAUAACAUAUUAAUAAGUCUGCACCUUCUGAACCCAGUCUCAUAAUGUACUAAUCCAAGUGAUAUGUUUAUAUACCAAACCUCUGACAUCAGUGCAGAUCAGUAGGACUGGGUCCAGACAUGGCUUAUCCCCUUCUAAUAUUUAUUCAUCCUUAGCAUCUCAUUUCACCAAUUUCUCCCACCCUAGCCUCCACACCUUCACUUUUCAGUAACCCUUUUCCCUUGCACUAAAGGUCUCCCUCCUCUGUAAUGUUUCCUGGCAAUACUUUAGAACUAUAAAAAAUGCAAGAACACCAAUGAAAUGUGUAUUAACAUUUAUUUAUAAAUUGGUUAAUAAAUUGAUGUUAUAUUCA